Molecule: ribosomal RNA, 497 nt
Filed under: uncultured bacterium
Lineage: Bacteria
Description: partial 16S ribosomal RNA
Rfam family: Bacterial small subunit ribosomal RNA
Source: RNAcentral
GACGAACGCUGGCGGCGUGCCUAAUACAUGCAAGUUGAGCGAUGAAGCUUGGUGCUUGCACCAAUUUGAAGAGCAGCGAACGGGUGAGUAACGCGUGGGUAAUCUGCCUUUGAGCGGGGGACAACAUUGGGAAACGAAUGCUAAUACCGCAUAACAACUUUAAACAUAAGUUUUAAGUUUGAAAGAUGCAAUUGCAUCACUCAAAGAUGAUCCCGCGUUGUAUUAGGUAGGUGGUGAGGUAAAGGCUCACCAAGGCGAAGAUACAUAGCCGAACUGAGAGGGUGAUCGGCCACAAUGGGACUGGGACACGGCCCAAACUCCUACGGGAGGCAGCAGUAGGGAAUCUUCGGCAAUGGGCGAAAGUCUGACCGAGGAACGCCGCGUGAGGGGAGAAGGUUUUCGGAUCGUAAAACUCUGUUGGUAGAGAAGAACGUUGGUGAGAGUGGAAAGCUCAUCAAGUGACGGUAACUACUCAGAAAGGGACGGCUAACUACGUG